Molecule: ribosomal RNA, 200 nt
Filed under: uncultured bacterium
Lineage: Bacteria
Description: partial 16S ribosomal RNA
Rfam family: Bacterial small subunit ribosomal RNA
Source: RNAcentral
AGAGUUUGAUCCUGGCUCAGAACAAACGCUGGCGGCGUGCCUAAUACAUGCAAGUCGAACGGGGAAAGCUUUCGGGUGAGUACUAGUGGCGCACGGGUGAGGAACGCGUGGAUAAUCUGCCUUAGAGUGGGGGAUAACUAGUCGAAAGAUUAGCUAAUACCGCAUAAGACCACAGGAGCUGCGGCUCUCGGGGUCAAAGG